GCACGAGUCAGCGUUUGCUUUCUCGCUUUAGAAGGCGGAAGGAUAAUGGUCGAAGCUCGGAGACCUUGAUGUACCAGGAAAACAUGAAGCGCAAUUCAAAACCUCGGCUCAUGUUACCCCUCCCACCGGUGCUGGGUGUUCACCGCUGAAAAGGUGUUCGGAAGGCGGAAAAAGAGGAAGUGGGAAGAAGAGAGAAACGGGGAAGUGGUGGGAGGACCGGAAGAUCGUGGCCUCUCCUAGCUCAUAGUUGAGAGUGGUAAUCCUGAGCUUCUGUGUGGUGUGUCACAGCUGGCAAGCCGCUUUCCAGUCCUUUCCCUUGGUCUUCCCACCAACCUCUUGGUGGAGGAACAGCCCGGUCCACGUCUGUGGGGAGAACAAGACAGGCCUGGGCAGCGCCUCCACUAGAACUUUCUGCGUCCUCCUCCAGUGUUCCUCCCGCCCGGCAGGUAAGGGAGGGGACUGUGUGCUAAAAGGGGACAUGGUCUUCUGAUUGAUUGGAUGAGGGCAGACCUUUGUUUUCUUUUGUUUGGAAUGGUGUGAUUUGGGAGAGGAGCAUCUAUCAGUUUCCCUACAAAUAUCAAGUGGGCCUUCUAUGAAUAUUUUAAACACCAUAGGAUAGAGCAUUUUCCCAUUAUUGGUAUUGUUGGGGCUCAAAUCAUACCACUCCAACUCAUGACUGUAGGAGACCAGAAUACACCAUGCCAAAAUAUAUUUCUUUGGCAUAUUUUUGAGCUGAUCAUUCUGAGAAAUGGUAGAUACAGGAGUAGCUCUGAAAAGCUGUCCUUUUGUAAAAGAAAUCUACAUCAGUGAAAGUAUCUGUUGGGAAGACGGCUGCUCCGGACAGCUUGUAUUAGCCAAGAGACUUUAUCUGCAGCCCAGCCCAUAACUUGUCGCCACCUCACUCCUGAAUCCCCAAGUCCCUAUUCUUUCCUGUGGAUCAGGAUGCUACCCAUGCAAACCCGAAUCAUCUGUGGGACUCCUGUGUGUAUACAUGUAAUUAAAUAUGGUUUUCCUCCUGUUAAUCUAUCUUAUGUCAAUUUAAUUCACAGCACAACCAAAGAAACUGGAAGAGUGGAGGAAGCCAUUUUUUCCUCCCCUACUGUAUAAGGCAGUUGUCUGGAAAAAAAUAUGAGCAUCACUUAGAACAGAUGUUAAACUCAGAAAUUCUUUGGUAAACUGAUCAUGCAGAUUGUUGGAAACAUCCAGAUGUUUGAAAUGGUAUAGAAAACCUGUUACUCACAACAGCCUGCAAAAAGAGGACAUCAGACCAUGAUGUGAGAGGUGCCUUCUCUAUACCUGGAGGGAGGAACAUCCUUAUAUCUGAAGAUGUGAAGAAUGAGGGAUGCUGAGAGGAAUACGAACCAACAGGAGGAAGCCGAGGCUUAAUGAGGUCAAAGGAAUUGCCCAAGAUCACACCUAGGACGAAGGAGAGCUUCAAACCCAGACAGACCAGCUCUAUAGGUUCUUCACCAAGACCGGAACAGACAGCUAUGAUCAAGGUGACGGGUGCUAAGAUAGAAGUAAGUGGGGUGUUAUUGGAGUGCGCUUGGAAUGCGUGUCUAAGUCAUACCGUGGAGGAAGGGAUGAAGAAGGCUUCCUGGAGGAGGCGCUGUUUUCACAGAACAGCACGUGAGCAGGAGUUGGGGCUCGGAUAGGUGCUCAAGUGUGUUCCAGGCAGAAGCAGCCGUGUGUGCCUGUGCUCAGGGGCGCAUGCACACUCCUCAUCUCUGAGGAUAAUCAGCUAGAAGGAAGGACUGACACAGGACCCGCACUUUCCACCUCUCACAAAGGCCGGCUCCAAAAAAAUGAUUUUUGAAAGGAUGGUGAAAAGGGCUACCGUUCUUGAAGUGCUGAUGAUCGAUGGUGAGGUAAUUCUUUAAAGAACGGUUAUUUUAAAGGCUCUAGGACCGACUUCUUGGAAAUAUCCCCUUAGCUCGGCAUCAACAUAGAAAUCUCCGCCAGAGCAGAGGCUGAGGCACUUGGGAGGCUGUGGCACACUCAAGAAACGUACGGGGUCCAGUGUGGAUGGAGCCAGGGUGCCAGGGGUGGGGGUGGGGGGUUGAUGAGUCAGGGAGCUGGGAGCAAGACUGGGACCUUGUCACAAAGGGACAUAUUUGCCUCAUCUAGUAAUACUGUGCAAAAUGAAAAUCCUUCCAUCAGCUUUCCCCUGCUCAGUAAGAAAAAGGGUUAAGCAGGCUUGAAAAAUCCCAUGCCUGUUUGAAUGAUUACUGCCAUGGCAACCCUGCAGCAGCCAGCACUUGUCAAGGCCUCUUCUUUGGAUACAAUAAUAAAUAGUGAUAAAACGUUACCCCAAGGCUUUAUAUUUUUGCCAUCAGUUAAAAUUCUGUUCUUGGCUGUGGUGAGGACUUCUUCAAAUCAGAAGGAAACAAAAGAAAAAGAAAAAGUGUGUUUUAAAUAAUGUGCUAGAAAUACUUCAUGCAUGUGCUUUAAGAAUUUGAAGCCCUAACAUUUCAGGCACUUGAAAAGGCCAAAAACCUUACCAAGGAGGA
Non-coding RNA from Microcebus murinus (gray mouse lemur), 2510 nucleotides. Lineage: Eukaryota; Metazoa; Chordata; Mammalia; Primates; Cheirogaleidae. The record is from RefSeq and is a predicted model, not a curated record.